Molecule: unclassified non-coding RNA, 253 nt
Filed under: uncultured Parcubacteria group bacterium
Lineage: Bacteria
Description: contains 16S-23S intergenic spacer region
Rfam family: Bacterial small subunit ribosomal RNA
Source: RNAcentral
CACGAAUGCCCCAAGCGUUAUCCGGAAUUACUGGGCGUAAAGGGUCCGCAGGCGGCUCUGUUAGUCCGGCGUUAAAUCACGAGGCUUAACCUCGUGGCUGCGUCGGAAACGGCAGAGCUUGAGGGUGUGAGAGGUGAGUGGAACCGACGGUGUAGGGGUGAAAUCCGUUGAUAUCGUCGGGAACACCAAAUGCGAAGGCAACUCACUGGCACAUUCCUGACGCUCAUGGACGACAGCUAAGGUAGCGAACGGG